UUUACCCCCCCCACACCCCAUUAACAACUCAAGGUGAAUUAAAGGACCCCAUAAAGAUAAGGACCCCAAACCCCAGAACCCCAUUGGUCGAUCCCCUUAUCAAUUAACGCCCCGCGAGAUAACGACGGGCCAAUAGAUCCCAUCCAACCCCUAAUUACGACCCCAUAAAUCCCAUAAAACCCCCAAUUAUGACCCAAUAAAUCCCAUAGAACGAGGAAUUACCACCCAAAGGGCACAAAGGGAGGGAAGGGAACCCAAAAGAUGGGCAAAUGGAGCAGGUUGGAGGUUGUGCUGAGCGUCCUGUUCUGUGUCGCCGUGGUCGUGGCCUGUGUCCUCAUUGGGGUCCUGGCCACUAAAAAGAGUGAAAAUAGGGGCGAAUUCGCCCCAAAUUGCCCCAAUAUCCAAAUAUCCCAAAGGAUCGACUGCAUCCCGGAUUUAGUGGCCACUAAGGUGAGAAAAUGACCCAAAAUCGGCCUUUUUUAGCCCAAAAAUUACCCCUUAUCAACCUCCCUUAUCAGUUCCAUUGGGGUCCCUUAUCAACCUUUGAUAUUGAUAAGGGAGCCCUUAUCACAAGGCUCCCAUUCAUUGCCCUAUUAAUUAAAGGGGGAAGAUUUUGGGGUAAAAUGAGGCUAAAUUGGUAAAAAAGAAGCCAAAAAACGCCAUUUUUGGAUGUUUUUAACCCAAAAACACAUCAAACUCUUUAAUUCACCCCAUAAAACCCCAUAAAAGCCCAUAAAACCCCAUAAAAACCCCAAAAAACACCAUUUUGGGGGUAAAAAACACCAUUUUUGGGUAAAAAACACCAUUUUUGGGGUAAAAAUUGACAAUUUUGGGGUAAAAAUCCACUUUUUUAGGGUUAAAAACCACAAUUUUGGGGUUAAAAACACCAUUUUGGGUUAAAAAAACACCAUUUUUGGGUAAAAAACCACCAUUUUUGGGGUAAAAACCAUCAUUUUUGGGGUAAAAAUCCACAAAUUGGGGGUUAAAAACACCAUUUUGGGGUAAAAAUCCACAAUUUGGGGGCAAAACCCACCAUUUUUGGGGUAAAAAUCGACAAUUUGGGUAUAAAAAUCUACAAUUUGGGGUUAAAAAACCACAAUUUUGGGGUUAAAAACCCAAAUUUUGGGGUAAAAAAUCCACAAUUUGGUGUAAAAACCACAAUUUUGGGGUAAAAACCCAUUAUUUAGGGGGUAAAAAUCGACAAUUUUGGGGUAAAACCCACCAUUUUUGGGGUAAAACCCACCAUUUUUGGG
RNAcentral lists this long non-coding RNA (1253 nucleotides) under Coturnix japonica (Japanese quail). Its description in RNAcentral is "lncRNA (ENSCJPG00005001637.1)". The record is from RNAcentral. Lineage: Eukaryota; Metazoa; Chordata; Aves; Galliformes; Phasianidae.